RNAcentral lists this ribosomal RNA (301 nucleotides) under uncultured bacterium. RNAcentral's name for it is "partial 16S ribosomal RNA". It matches the Rfam family "Bacterial small subunit ribosomal RNA", at positions 509 to 807 of the family's 1533-position model. The record is from RNAcentral.
CAGCCGCCGCGGUAAUACGUAGGUGGCAAGCGUUGUCCGGAUUUAUUGGGCGUAAAGCGAGCGCAGGCGGUCAAUUAAGUCUGAUGUGAAAGCCCCCGGCUCAACCGGGGAGGGUCAUUGGAAACUGGUUGACUUGAGUGCAGAAGAGGAGAGUGGAAUUCCAUGUGUAGCGGUGAAAUGCGUAGAUAUAUGGAGGGACACCAGUGGCGAAGGCGACUCUCUGGUCUGUAACUGACGCUGAGGCUCGAAAGCGUGGGUAGCAAACAGGAUUAGAUACCCGUGUAGUCCCUGUCUCUUAUAC